GCGUCAGUAAUGAAACGGUUUAGAGCACGCGUUUCUCGAUAAAGUGAGAUGUGGGUUCGAGCCCCGCCUGACGCA
This is a non-coding RNA of Parelaphostrongylus tenuis, 75 nucleotides long. NCBI's taxonomy places the organism in Eukaryota, Metazoa, Nematoda, Chromadorea, Rhabditida, Metastrongylidae. The record is from the annotation of a GenBank genome assembly.